AUUGAACGCUGGCGGCAGGCCUAACACAUGCAAGUCGAACGGUAACAGGAAGCAGCUUGCUGCUUUGCUGACGAGUGGCGGACGGGUGAGUAAUGUCUGUGAAACUGCCCGAUGGAGGGGGAUAACUACUGGAAACGGUAGCUAAUACCGCAUAACGUCGCAAGACCAAAGAGGGGGACCUUAGGGCCUCUUGCCAUCGGAUGUGCCCAGAUGGGAUUAGCUAGUAGGUGGGGUAACGGCUCACCUAGGCGACGAUCCCUAGCUGGUCUGAGAGGAUGACCAGCCACACUGGAACUGAGACACGGUCCAGACUCCUACGGGAGGCAGCAGUGGGGAAUAUUGCACAAUGGGCGCAAGCCUGAUGCAGCCAUGCCGCGUGUAUGAAGAAGGCCUUCGGGUUGUAAAGUACUUUCAGCGGGGAGGAAGGGAGUAAAGUUAAUACCUUUGCUCAUUGACGUUACCCGAAGAAGAAGCACCGGCUAACUCCGUG
Molecule: ribosomal RNA, 490 nt
Filed under: uncultured bacterium
Lineage: Bacteria
Description: partial 16S ribosomal RNA
Rfam family: Bacterial small subunit ribosomal RNA
Source: RNAcentral